RNAcentral lists this ribosomal RNA (437 nucleotides) under uncultured bacterium. RNAcentral's name for it is "bacterial SSU rRNA". It matches the Rfam family "Bacterial small subunit ribosomal RNA", at positions 29 to 511 of the family's 1533-position model. The record is from RNAcentral.
AACGAACGCUGGCGGCAUGCCUAACACAUGCAAGUCGAACGAGACCUUCGGGUCUAGUGGCGCACGGGUGCGUAACGCGUGGGAAUCUGCCCUUUGCUUCGGAAUAACAGUUAGAAAUGACUGCUAAUACCGGAUGAUGUCUUCGGACCAAAGAUUUAUCGGCAAAGGAUGAGCCCGCGUAGGAUUAGGUAGUUGGUGGGGUAAAGGCCUACCAAGCCGACGAUCCUUAGCUGGUCUGAGAGGAUGAUCAGCCACACUGGGACUGAGACACGGCCCAGACUCCUACGGGAGGCAGCAGUGGGGAAUAUUGGACAAUGGGCGAAAGACCUGAUCCAGCAAUGCCGCGUGAGUGAUGAAGGCUUAGGUUGUAAAGACUCUUUACCCGGGAUGAUAAUGACAGUACCGGGAGAAUAAGACUCCGGCUAACUCCGUGCCAG